This is a long non-coding RNA of Triticum aestivum (bread wheat), 596 nucleotides long. RefSeq lists it as uncharacterized. The transcript is spliced from 3 exons. The record is from RefSeq and is a predicted model, not a curated record. Lineage: Eukaryota; Viridiplantae; Streptophyta; Magnoliopsida; Poales; Poaceae.
GCAUGGUGUUAUGAAAUUGCUUGCGGACUACUAGCUGAAAUUGCUUGACAAACAGAGCAAAAGGGCCCAAACCCACUAUUGUGCAAGAAAAAGAAAGCAAAGCCCCAACCAUCAGCUGCUCAAUCAUCAGACCUGUGGGGAGAAGACGGAACUAAAAUGAUUCAGUUCAUCAUUGGCACCCCUGUAAACCAAACAGUGAAGAACACACCCCCUGUACUUUUGCGCUUGUUCUUUCUAUCUCCUAAAUUCUAUGCUUUCUGUGAUGAGCAUGCUUGGUACUAUAUAGAUACUGCUGUAGUAGUUCUAAUACAAUAUAUUACAAGAAUUCAUUGACAAAAAAGGUGUCAGUUCAUAUAUGUAUGCAGCAACUGUUCUGAUACUACUUCAGUAACCAAAAAAACACAAAAGUUCAACUAUACUUGUACAAAAUAGUUCAUUAUUUUAUUCUAUGACAGUCAAGAAAAACAGAAAAAAAGAGGUUCAUUGUGUGAUGAACAAUAGUCCCAACAAGUGUGGUAGAGAUGCAAAAAAGUGAUAGCAUAGUCGAUGCUAGUUUUCAAUCACUUUCUGAAGAAAACUGAAGUUGAUCAGAGUAC